Molecule: ribosomal RNA, 465 nt
Filed under: uncultured bacterium
Lineage: Bacteria
Description: partial 16S ribosomal RNA
Rfam family: Bacterial small subunit ribosomal RNA
Source: RNAcentral
GACGAACGCUGGCGGCGUGCUUAACACAUGCAAGUCGAACGGAAAGGCCCUGCUUGCAGGGUACUCGAGUGGCGAACGGGUGAGUAACACGUGGGUGAUCUGCCCUGCACUUCGGGAUAAGCCUGGGAAACUGGGUCUAAUACCGGAUAGGAACCAUUUUUAGUGUGAUGGUUGGAAAGUUUUUUCGGUGUAGGAUGAGCUCGCGGCCUAUCAGCUUGUUGGUGGGGUAAUGGCCUACCAAGGCGGCGACGGGUAGCCGGCCUGAGAGGGUGGACGGCCACAUUGGGACUGAGAUACGGCCCAGACUCCUACGGGAGGCAGCAGUGGGGAAUAUUGCACAAUGGGCGCAAGCCUGAUGCAGCGACGCCGCGUGGGGGGUGACGGCCUUCGGGUUGUAAACUCCUUUCGCUAGGGACGAAGCUUUUUGUGACGGUACCUAGAUAAGAAGCACCGGCUAACUACGUG